Vulpes vulpes (red fox) is the source of this 1040-nucleotide long non-coding RNA. Lineage: Eukaryota; Metazoa; Chordata; Mammalia; Carnivora; Canidae. The record is from Ensembl.
AUGGCUGAAACCAUGCUGCAGGCACAGAAUAGCUUCUUCUGUCCGUGCAAAAGACAAAUACGUCAUUCAAACAUCUCUACUCGAACAUAUACGGGGCCAGGCACGAGAAAUGCAUCACGGGAUCCGUGGCAUCGCACGCUCCCUCCCACUCAGGACGCGGGGCUUGCCUUCUGGCAGGGGAGAGCACAUUACUCUUGGGCCAAGAACAUUCAUCGGCUCCCCAUUGCCAACCGGAUUUUGACUUCUCAGACUGUCAUUUCCUGUGCUUCCCAAUCCCGCCCCACUCCGGCUUCCCAGCCACAACUCCCUCCACUCAGUCACACCGCACACCACGGAUGGCGAAUGAGCCACCUCCUCCCUGAAGCCUUCCUUGACCAUUCCUACCCCACGAGGAUCCCCCCUGCCUCCCCGAGCUUCCUCACGGAUCGCCGUCUCCGCUGCCACCUGGGACCUGCUCCUGUGACACCCUCACGUGUGAGGUCUUAUCAUUCCGACUCAGUUACAAGUGUCUAGAGAGCCAGGUGCCAGCUUCUGCUUCAGCCAGCUAUCUGGAGGAUGAGGGCUGGCCCUGGACAUGACUCCAGAAGGAAAUUCAGCUUUAAAGAGAUCUUCAUGCCUGGACUCUACUUCCCAGAGAAUCUGAUUCUAUGGUUCUGGCUGAAGGGGGCAGAGAGGACCAACUACAUCAUCUGUAGAGGCCCUUGAUCAAAAAUUAUAAAGAAUUUCAAGAUAGUAUCCGCAGAACAUCAAGCAUCACACAGGUCACAAUCCCACGAAGCUGGUCCUGGGGGCAACUAUUUAAACUUCCCCAGGGGAUGUGCACCAGCCUUGAGAGCCACCAGUCAUGACAAUGUGGGGCCACUGAGGGCUCUGCACCUCUGAGCUCCCACGGCAGUAACGCGCCUCUGCAUGCCUGGGUUGCCCGGAGCACAAAUAUUUGUCGAAGGAAUGAAUAUAUGAACGGAUGGAGGGAAAUGAAGCUUGAACUAGAAAGCUGGGAAGGAUCUUUUUCCCACUUGCUUUAAAAAAAUCAAAUAUAU